This 256-nucleotide ribosomal RNA is filed under the name uncultured bacterium. RNAcentral's name for it is "partial 16S ribosomal RNA". It matches the Rfam family "Bacterial small subunit ribosomal RNA", at positions 524 to 776 of the family's 1533-position model. The record is from RNAcentral.
UACGAAGGGGGGCUAGCGUUGUUCGGAAUUACUGGGCGUAAAGCGCGCGCCAGGCGGUCCUUUAAGUCAGGGGUGAAAGCCCAGAGCUCAACUCUGGAACUGCCUUUGAAACUAGAGGACUUGGGUACGGGAGAGGUGAGUGGAAUUCCGAGUGUAGAGGUGAAAUUCGUAGAUAUUCGGAAGAACACCAGUGGCGAAGGCGGCUCACUGGCCCGUUACCGACGCUCAGGCGCGACAGCGUGGGGGAGCAAACAGG